RNAcentral lists this ribosomal RNA (403 nucleotides) under uncultured bacterium. RNAcentral describes it as "partial 16S ribosomal RNA". It matches the Rfam family "Bacterial small subunit ribosomal RNA", at positions 30 to 526 of the family's 1533-position model. The record is from RNAcentral.
AUUGAACGCUGGCGGCAGGCCUAACACAUGCAAGUCGAGCGAGCGGCGGACGGGUGAGUAAUGUAUGGGGACUGCCCGAUAGAGGGGGCUAACUACUGGAAACGGUGGCUAAUACCGCAUACUAUCGGAUAACCCAUAGGGGAUUAGCUAGUAGGUGGGGUAAAGGCUCACCUAGGCGACGAUGUCUAGCUGGUCUGAGAGGGUGAUCAGCCAAACUGGGACUGAGACACGGCCCAGACUCCUACGGAGGCAGCAGUUGGGAAUAUUGCACAAUGGGCGCAAGCCUGAUGCAGCCAUGCCGCGUGUGUGAAUAAGGCCUUAGGAUUGUAAAGUACUUUCGGCGGGGAGGCGUUACCCGCAGAAGAAGCACCGGCUAACUCCGUGCCAGCAGCCGCGGUAAUAC